AUUGAACGCUGGCGGCAGGCCUAACACAUGCAAGUCGAACGAGUGGCGGACGGGUGAGUAAUGUAUGGGAACCUGCCCGAUAGAGGGGGAUAACUACUGGAAACGGUGGCUAAUACCGCAUACUAUCGGCUGAACCCAUAUGGGAUUAGCUAGUAGGUGGGGUAAAGUCUCACCUAGGCGACGAUCUCUAGCUGGUCUGAGAGGAUGAACAGCCACGCUGGGACUGAGACACGGCCCAGACUCCUACGGGAGGCAGCAGUGGGGAAUAUUGCACAAGGGGCGCAAGCCUGAUGCAGCCAUGCCGCGUGUAUGAAGAAGGCCUUCGGGUUGUAAAGUACUUUCAGCGGGGAGGCGUUACCCGCAGAAGAAGCACCGGCUAACUCCGUGCCAGCAGCCGCGGUAAUAC
RNAcentral lists this ribosomal RNA (406 nucleotides) under uncultured bacterium. Its description in RNAcentral is "partial 16S ribosomal RNA". It matches the Rfam family "Bacterial small subunit ribosomal RNA", at positions 30 to 526 of the family's 1533-position model. The record is from RNAcentral.